This 684-nucleotide ribosomal RNA is filed under the name uncultured ciliate. RNAcentral describes it as "SSU rRNA". It matches the Rfam family "Eukaryotic small subunit ribosomal RNA", at positions 322 to 1030 of the family's 1831-position model. The record is from RNAcentral. Lineage: Eukaryota; Ciliophora.
UCUGGAUGGUAGUGUAUUGGACUACCGUGGCAGUAACGGGUAACGAAGAAUUAGGGUUCGAUUUCGGAGAGGGAGCAUGAGAAACGGCUACCACAUCUAAGGAAGGCAGCAGGCGCGUAAAUUACCCAAUCCUGACUCAGGGAGGUAGUGACAAGAAAUAGCAAACCGGGGACCUCACGGUCUUACGGUAUUGCAAUGAGAACAAUUUAAAACACUUAGCGAGGACCGAGUGGAGGACAAGUCUGGUGCCAGCACCCGCGGUAAUUCCAGCUCCACUAGCGUAUAUUAAAGUUGUUGCAGUUAAAAAGCUCGUAGUUGAACCUCUGUCUGGGGCUAGUUCUGGCUUCGGUCAAGCUAGUUCUAGACAUCCGCCUGUAAGGCCUAGCUGUCAUUUAGUUGUUCACUAGGAUGAGCAGGCAUUUUACUUUGAAAAAAUUAGAGUGUUUAAGGCAGGCCAUAGCCCGCAUAUAUUAGCAUGGAAUAAUAGAAUAGGACACUUUUCCAUUUCGUUGGUUAUUGGAAUCGUGUAAUGAUUAAUAGGGACAGUUGUGGGCAUUUGUAUUUAAUUGUCAGAGGUGAAAUYCUUGGAUUUAUUAAAGACAAACUAACGCGAAAGCAUUUGCCAAGGAUGUUUUCAUUAAUCAAGAACGAAAGUUAGGGGAUCAAAGACGAUYAGAUACCGUC